RNAcentral lists this ribosomal RNA (439 nucleotides) under uncultured bacterium. Its description in RNAcentral is "partial 16S ribosomal RNA". It matches the Rfam family "Bacterial small subunit ribosomal RNA", at positions 339 to 795 of the family's 1533-position model. The record is from RNAcentral.
CUACUGGCUGCAGCAGUGAGGAAUAUUGCACAAUGGGGGGAACCCUGAUGCAGCAACGCCGCGUGGAGGAUGACGCAUUUCGGUGUGUAAACUCCUUUUAUAUGUCAAGAAAAUGACGGUAGCAUAUGAAUAAGCACCGGCUAACUCCGUGCCAGCAGCCGCGGUAAUACGGAGGGUGCAAGCGUUACUCGGAAUCACUGGGCGUAUAGGACGCGUAGGCGGGUUGGAAAGUCAGGUGUGAAAUCCUACAGCUUAACUGUAGAACUGCACUUGAAACUUCUAAUCUAGAGUAUGGGAGGGGGAGAUGGAAUUAGUGGUGUAGGGGUAAAAUCCGUAGAUAUCACUAGGAAUACCUAAAGCGAAGGCGAUCUCCUGGAACAUUACUGACGCUAAGGCGUGAAAGCGUGGGGAGCAAACAGGAUUAGAUACCCCCGUAGUC